CCGAUAGAAAACAAGUACCGUGAGGGAAAGUUGAAAAGAACCCUUGACAGGGAGUCAAAAGUUCCUGAAAUCUAGUAGUGAUAGUGAGUUAGGGCUCUACGGAGUUCUAACGUGCGUUUUGAAUAACGUGCCAGGGAGUGUAUCUAAGUGGCGAGGAUAAGCUGAAAAAGCGCAUCCAAAGCGAAAGCAAGAUCCCGCAGUUUUACGAGGGGAGAGGUAUGAAAGUGCCUUUAGUCACUUGGAUACUACCUGAAACCGGGCGAUCUAUUCCUGAGCAAGGUGAAGCGAGGGUUAAACUUCGUGGAGGCCUGAAGAGGUUCUACGGACAAGUGUUCUUCUGACUUGGGAAUAGGGGUGAAAAGCCAAUCGAGCUCGGCUAUAGCAGGUUCCUGCCGAAAUUGACCUUAGUCAAGUCUCGGUCGAGAUGGUUAAAGUUGUAGAGCUACGGAUUGCGGAUUUAGGCGAGGAAACUUGUCGGUUUGCUGUCCAACUCCGAAUGCUUUAAUGUUGCAGACACCGGGAAACAGGGAGUCUUGGGGUAAGCUUGACUUCCGAAAGGGGAACAACCCAGACUACAGUUAAGGUCCCUAAGUGCCAGUUAAGUGAUAAAGGGUGAAGGGUGUUUAUGAUCUGAGACAGUGAGGAGGUUGGCUUAGAAGCAGCCAUCCUUUAAAAAGUGCGUAACAGCUUACUCAUUGAGGUCGUAAGCCCCGAAAAUUGACGGGUCUAAACUGGUCACCGAUACUGUAGACUAUGAAAAUAGGUGUAGGCAGGCGUUCUUUUAGGGCAGAAGCUUCUUCGUAAGAGGAGGUGGACCUGGAAGAAAUGAAUAUCCUGGUGGUAGUAGGAACGGAGCAGAGUGAGAAUCUCUGUCGUCGUAAGGGCAAGGGUUCCUUGGCAAUGCAAAUCAGCUAAGGGUUAGUCGAUCCUAACUCAACUCAUAAGUGAGUGAGAGGAAAGGGAAACAGGUUAAUAUUCCUGUACUAAUUUAGUAUACGUGGCAACACAAGUUUUAUUUCUGACGCAUCCGGAUAGACCAACAGAACAUGUCUGUUCUGCUAACGAACAUAAGUCAGGGGAGUAUCGUAAUGAUGAGAACCUGAGUAAAGUUCGGAAUGGUGGAUCUAUGAUUCAUUUGGUUGAUUCCCGGUGCCCGUGAAAAGGGAAUAAUUCAGAUCUGAAUUAAUCGUACCCAGAACCAGCACAGGUGCCCCUAGGUGAGAAGCCUAAGACGUGCAAGAUUAAUCUAGUUAAGGGAAUUCGGCAAAUUAGUCCCGUAUCUUCGGUAGAAGGGAUCCCUGGAAUUGUUGUCGUAUGAUUGCGAUUUCAGGGCGCAGUGACUAAGGUGGUCCGACUGUUUAACAAAAACUUAACCUUCUGCUACGCUGUAAAGCUUUGUAUAGAAGGUGAUAUCUGCCCAGUGCCAGUACUUUAAGCCUCGGUUCAACGGGGUGAAGAGCUGGUAAACGGCGGGAGUAACUAUAACUCUCUUAAGGUAGCGAAAUGCCUUGCCGUUUGAAUGACGGCCUGCAUGAAUGGUAUAACGAGAUCGCCACUGUCCCUAACUAGAACCUUCCGAAUACUCUAUCCUGGUGCAAAGGCCAGGGACUUCCAGUGGGAAGCGAAGACCCCGUGAAACUUUACUGUAGCCUGUUGCUGUGUUUCGAGCUUUGUUAUAUAGUGUAAGUGGGAGCUGUUUGAGACUAUAGACGUCAGUUUGUAGUUAAGGCGCCAAUGUAACACCACUUCUCAAAACUUGAAACACUAACCUCGAAAAGAGGGACACCAAUUGGUGGACAGUUUGGCUGGGGUGGCACGCUGUUGAAAGGAUAUCAAUAGCGCCCAAAGGUUGGCUCAUCCAGUUUAGAAAUCUGGAGUAGAGUGCAAGGGCAAAAGCCAGCCUGAUUGGACUUCAAACAUAACAAUUUCCAAACACGAAAGUGUGGCCUAGCGAACCUCCAUACCUUCUUAAUGAGGGUUGGAGAUGACUGAAAAGUUACUCCGGGGAUAACUGAGUUGUCGCGCCCGAGAGUUCAUAUCGACGGCGCGGUUUGCUACUUCGAUGUCGGCUCUUCCUAUCCUGGUGGUGCAGAAGCUGCCAAGGGUGGGGGUGUUCACCCAUUAAAAGGGAUCGUGAGCUGGGUUCAGAACGCUGUGAGGCAGUUUGUUUGAUAUCUACU
Molecule: ribosomal RNA, 2180 nt
Filed under: Candidatus Bathyarchaeota archaeon
Lineage: Archaea; Thermoproteati; Candidatus Bathyarchaeota
Description: partial 23S ribosomal RNA
Rfam family: Archaeal large subunit ribosomal RNA
Source: RNAcentral